UUGCCUCAGUAACGGCGAGUGAAGCGGCAAGAGCUCAAAUUUGAAAGCUGGCUCCUUCGGAUAUGCAUUGUAAUUUGCAGAGGAUGCUUUGGGUGCGGCCCCCGUCUAAGUGCCCUGGAACGGGCCGUCAGAGAGGGUGAGAAUCCCGUCUUGGGCGGGGUGUCCGUGCCCGUGUAAAGCUCCUUCGACGAGUCGAGUUGUUUGGGAAUGCAGCUCUAAAUGGGUGGUAAAUUUCAUCUAAAGCUAAAUACUGGCCGGAGACCGAUAGCGCACAAGUAGAGUGAUCGAAAGAUGAAAAGCACUUUGAAAAGAGAGUUAAACAGCACGUGAAAUUGUUGAAAGGGAAGCGCUUGCGACCAGACUCGCCCGCGGGGUUCAGCCGGCAUUCGUGCCGGUGUACUUCCCCGUGGGCGGGCCAGCGUCGGUUUGGGCGGCCGGUCAAAGGCCCCUGGAAUGUAGUACCCUCCGGGGUACCUUAUAGCCAGGGGUGCAAUGCGGCCAGCCUGGACCGAGGAACGCGCUUCGGCACGGACGCUGGCAUAAUGGUCGUAAACGACCCGUCUUGAAACACGGACCAAGGAGUCUAACAUCUACGCGAGUGUUCGGGUGUCAAACCCGUGCGCGCAGUGAAAGCGAACGGAGGUGGGAGCCCCCUCGCGGGGCGCACCAUCGACCGAUCCUGAUGUCUUCGGAUGGAUUUGAGUAAGAGCGUAAAUGUGGGGACCCGAAAGAUGGUGAACUAUGCCUGAAUAGGGCGAAGCCAGAGGAAACUCUGGUGGAGGCUCGCAGCGGUUCUGACGUGCAAAUCGAUCGUCAAAUUUGGGUAUAGGGGCGAAAGACUAAUCGAACCAUCUAGUAGCUGGUUCCUGCCGA
RNAcentral lists this ribosomal RNA (873 nucleotides) under Aspergillus aureus var. pallidus. RNAcentral's name for it is "LSU rRNA". It matches the Rfam family "Eukaryotic large subunit ribosomal RNA", at positions 75 to 964 of the family's 3401-position model. Lineage: Eukaryota; Fungi; Ascomycota; Eurotiomycetes; Eurotiales; Aspergillaceae. The record is from RNAcentral.